GGUCAGGUAGGGUGGUCCGUCCUCUGGGCGUGUACUGCCAUUGCCUGGCCUAACCUUCUGGCGAACUGGUCAGUUCCGCUGGUCAGCUAGCCAGGACUUUUACUUUGAAAAAAUUAGAGUGUUCAAAGCAGGCUUACGCUUGAAUACAUUAGCAUGGAAUAAUAGAAUAGGACUUUGGUUCUAUUUUGUUGGUUUCUAGGACCAAAGUA
RNAcentral lists this ribosomal RNA (209 nucleotides) under uncultured fungus. RNAcentral's name for it is "partial small subunit ribosomal RNA". The stretch from base 88 to 209 matches the Rfam family "Eukaryotic small subunit ribosomal RNA", at positions 740 to 864 of the family's 1831-position model. The record is from RNAcentral. Lineage: Eukaryota; Fungi.